GAUGAAGAACGUAGCGAAAUGCGAUAAGUAAUGUGAAUUGCAGAAUUCAGUGAAUCAUCGAAUCUUUGAACGCACAUUGCGCCCGCCAGUAUUCUGGCGGGCAUGCCUGUCUGAGCGUCAUUUCAACCCUCAUGCCCCUAGGGCGUGGUGUUGGGGAUCGGCCAAAGCCCGCGAGGGACGGCCGGCCCCUAAAUCUAGUGGCGGACCCGUCGUGGCCUCCACUGCGAAGUAGUGAUAUUCCGCAUCGGAGAGCGAUGAGCCCCUGCCGUUAAACCCCCAACUUUCCAAGGUUGACCUCAGAUCAGGUAGGAAUACCCGCUGAACUUAAGCAUAUCAAUAAGCGGAGGA
This 348-nucleotide unclassified non-coding RNA is filed under the name soil metagenome. RNAcentral describes it as "partial contains 5.8S ribosomal RNA, internal transcribed spacer 2, and large subunit ribosomal RNA". The stretch from base 1 to 120 matches the Rfam family "5.8S ribosomal RNA", at positions 35 to 154 of the family's 154-position model. The record is from RNAcentral.